RNAcentral lists this unclassified non-coding RNA (349 nucleotides) under soil metagenome. RNAcentral's name for it is "partial contains 5.8S ribosomal RNA, internal transcribed spacer 2, and large subunit ribosomal RNA". The stretch from base 1 to 120 matches the Rfam family "5.8S ribosomal RNA", at positions 35 to 154 of the family's 154-position model. The record is from RNAcentral.
GAUGAAGAACGUAGCGAACUGCGAUAAGUAAUGUGAAUUGCAGAAUUCAGUGAAUCAUCGAGUCUUUGAACGCACAUUGCGCCCCCUGGCAUUCCGGGGGGCAUGCCUGUCCGAGCGUCAUUGCUGCCCUUCAAGCCCGGCUUGUGUGUUGGGUCGUCGUCCCCCCCGGGGGACGGGCCCGAAAGGCAGCGGCGGCACCGCGUCCGGUCCUCGAGCGUAUGGGGCUUUGUCACCCGCUCGAUUAGGGCCGGCCGGGCGCCAGCCGGCGUCUCCAACCUUUUAUUUUACCAGGUUGACCUCGGAUCAGGUAGGGAUACCCGCUGAACUUAAGCAUAUCAAUAAGGGAGGA